Molecule: long non-coding RNA, 888 nt
Filed under: Homo sapiens (human)
Lineage: Eukaryota; Metazoa; Chordata; Mammalia; Primates; Hominidae
Description: HSALNT0211420
Source: RNAcentral
GAAAAAUGUGAAAAGAGAGACUGGCCUAGCCUCACAGACUACAUCGUUCUCACAUGCUGGCUGCUUCCUGACCUUGAACAUCAUACUCCAAGUUCUUCAGUUUUAGGACUUGGACUGGCUCUCCUUGCUCCUCAGUUUGCAGAUGGCCUAUUGCAGGACCUUGAGAUCAUGGCCACUCAAGCUCCAGAGGUUCCUACGGCAUCAAAAGAGGACUCUGUUGCAACUGCAUCACCGUUCAUCUCCCUCUGCCCAGUCCUGCUUCCUUCAUUUCCUGAAGGGUAUUGUUUCUCAGCGUACUCCCAAUAAACCGCCUGCAAAUAGAUCUGCAUCUCAAGAUGCAAUACCAAACCGGAAGGCAAGAUCCUGGGCACCAUUCCAGGUGAGUGGAGUGGAAUUCUAUGCACUGAGUUUUGACCCUCAGCUUCACCCUCAUGUGUAAAACGGAGAUAAUAUAGUCUCUUGUCUAUGUGUGCAUGUUAACCAAGUGAAGGCAUGGCUCAGAGUUUCUCUCACACUAAUAAUAGCUUUCAGAGAUGGAGAGAGUAUAAUUCUAAUUCUGCUGAAACAACCAGACAAUCCUGUCUGAGAAGAAAAGCCCUAAAAUCUGUCCUUAGCCCAAGGUCACACCAAUUUUGGGCUCUCUCCUUGCCCUAUCAGCUCCCCUUUGAGAUCCCAACAUGCCUUACAGUUGAGGCCAUAUGGGUCAUGUCUUUUUGCAGCAUUUUUCCUGAAGAAGGUCCAGAAUUUCAAUGCUGUUACUUUCUUCUAAGGCAACAUUACAAUCAUAUUUUAAUGAACUCAUUCUCAUCAGCUUUCUGUCUUAGUUGAUGUUUUCCUUUGGGAUCUGUAUGGUCUUAGAGAAUAAGACCUAUGUCCAUUUUACCUACU